UGGAAGGCACGUCUGAUUGCAUGAAG
Molecule: non-coding RNA, 26 nt
Filed under: Mus musculus (house mouse)
Lineage: Eukaryota; Metazoa; Chordata; Mammalia; Rodentia; Muridae
Source: RNAcentral